CGCUGGCGACUGUCGCUACUU
This 21-nucleotide small nuclear RNA is filed under the name Arabidopsis thaliana (thale cress). RNAcentral's name for it is "snRNA_14311". The record is from RNAcentral. Lineage: Eukaryota; Viridiplantae; Streptophyta; Magnoliopsida; Brassicales; Brassicaceae.